Molecule: ribosomal RNA, 808 nt
Filed under: uncultured Bacteroidota bacterium
Lineage: Bacteria; Pseudomonadati; Bacteroidota
Description: bacterial SSU rRNA
Rfam family: Bacterial small subunit ribosomal RNA
Source: RNAcentral
AAACGGCAUUGAGUGCUUGCACUCUUUGGACGUCGACCGGCGCACGGGUGAGUAACGCGUAUCCAACCUUCCCAUUACUGUGGGAUAACCUGCCGAAAGGCAGACUAAUACCGCAUAGUCUUCGAUGACGGCAUCAGAUUUGAAGUAAAGAUUUAUCGGUAAUGGAUGGGGAUGCGUCUGAUUAGUUUGUUGGCGGGGUAACGGCCCACCAAGGCAACGAUCAGUAGGGGUUCUGAGAGGAAGGUCCCCCACAUUGGAACUGAGACACGGUCCAAACUCCUACGGGAGGCAGCAGUGAGGAAUAUUGGUCAAUGGACGGAAGUCUGAACCAGCCAAGUAGCGUGCAGGAUGACGGCCCUAUGGGUUGUAAACUGCUUUUGUAUGGGGAUAAAGUUAGGGACGUGUCCCUAUUUGCAGGUACCAUACGAAUAAGGACCGGCUAAUUCCGUGCCAGCAGCCGCGGUAAUACGGAAGGUCCAGGCGUUAUCCGGAUUUAUUGGGUUUAAAGGGAGCGUAGGCUGGAGAUUAAGUGUGUUGUGAAAUGUAGACGCUCAACGUCUGAAUUGCAGCGCAUACUGGUUUCCUUGAGUACGCACAACGUUGGCGGAAUUCGUCGUGUAGCGGUGAAAUGCUUAGAUAUGACGAAGAACUCCGAUUGCGAAGGCAGCUGACGGGAGCGCAACUGACGCUUAAGCUCGAAGGUGCGGGUAUCAAACAGGAUUAGAUAUCCUGGUAGUCCGCACAGUAAACGAUGGAUGCCCGCUGUUGGUACCUGGUAUCAGCGGCUAGGCGAAAGCAUUAAGCAUCC